RNAcentral lists this non-coding RNA (202 nucleotides) under Lacticaseibacillus casei. RNAcentral's name for it is "Lactobacillus casei T-box sequence". It matches the Rfam family "T-box leader". From Rfam's summary of the family: Uncharged tRNA acts as the effector for transcription antitermination of genes in the T-box leader family. T-boxes are found upstream of many aminoacyl-tRNA synthetase genes and some amino acid biosynthetic genes usually in Gram-positive bacteria. The record is from RNAcentral. Lineage: Bacteria; Bacillati; Bacillota; Bacilli; Lactobacillales; Lactobacillaceae. RNAcentral also lists the same sequence under 1 other name.
GCUAAUGCAAUGAUCAAGAGGGUCAUGGUCUUUUUUUCCAGCGACAAGGUGGUUGGUGCAAACCUUGAAAAAGGCUAUGGUUGUAGCUUGUGAGCUGCCGUCCUGAAGUGAGUAGGGAGCGGCCGGUGACAGCCGUUAUCCUGAACCAAGUGGGGGAUUGUUUCCCAAUUUAGGUGGUACCGCGAGCUGACUCGUCCUAAUU